UAUUUCAAGUUCUUUCGUUUUCAAAUCAUAAUUCAAAGUGACAGAGACAGAUGGAUAGAGAGAGAGAAAGAUAGAGAGAGAGGAAGAGCGGCAUGCAGCCUGAAAGUAUGCUAUGCGUCUUUAAGUUGCCGCUAACAAAGCAUUUGUUGUUUGUUUGUAUUUCUCUUGGAGACUACGCGUGUAGUUUGAAUAUACUUAGAUAGUUAUAAAAAUGUGUUAACAAAAUCAAUUAAGGAUGCAAAUAUGUAAUCGCUUUAUAAACUUAGUUGCACGACCAGUUACCAAAGAAAACUAAACAAUAGAAAAACACCAAUCCCAAUGUGUGGGUACGUAAAGAAAGAAGUGUGUCUUCAAACGCGUCGUUAGUGUUUUAUGCAAUAAUAAUAUGGAACGAAAAAAUAAUAACAAAAGGAGUGAAAAAUAAUUUUACAAACAUAUGUAUAUAAAGGAAUGUUCUGCUCAAAAACCAAGACAAUUAUUGGUGUCUUUCACAAGUUCAAUUGAAAGUUAAUGUGUAAAUAAAUGUGUAUGUACGAGUGUAUAAUAAA
RNAcentral lists this small RNA (548 nucleotides) under Drosophila virilis. RNAcentral describes it as "GJ26075". Lineage: Eukaryota; Metazoa; Arthropoda; Insecta; Diptera; Drosophilidae. The record is from RNAcentral.